Molecule: long non-coding RNA, 241 nt
Filed under: Mytilus galloprovincialis (Mediterranean mussel)
Lineage: Eukaryota; Metazoa; Mollusca; Bivalvia; Mytilida; Mytilidae
Source: RNAcentral
GGCGGUAACGGGAAAGAAAAGGUGCAGGUGAUAUGGUGAUGUCGUCUGCCACCAUUAAAUCAUUAGAUAAAGUAGGGAAUUAGCCUAAUGAUUAUUGAAUUAUCCACUUUUGCUUGUAAAAUUUGUAACUGCAACUACUUAUGACAAUUUCAAUUUUCUUCUCACUUAGUCAACUUCAGAACUUCAUUAGCUAUGAUGCUUCGCGGGCAAUUAUCAACGUCUACAUGCCAACAUGAUAUCA